AACACAUGCAAGUCGAGGGCAGCAUAAAAGUAGCAAUACUUGGUGGCGACCGGCGCACGGGUGAGUAACGCGUAUGCAACCUACCUAUCAGACGGGGAAUAACCCGGCGAAAGUCGGACUAAUACCGCAUAAAACAGGGGCACCGCAUGGUGAUAUUUGUUAAAGAAAUUCGCUGAUAGAUGGGCAUGCGUUCCAUUAGGUAGUUGGUGAGGUAACGGCUCACCAAGCCGACGAUGGAUAGGGGAACUGAGAGGUUGGUCCCCCACACUGGUACUGAGACACGGACCAGACUCCUACGGGAGGCAGCAGUGAGGAAUAUUGGUCAAUGGGCGGGAGCCUGAACCAGCCAAGUCGCGUGGAAAAGGAAGAAGGAUCUAUGGUUCGUAAACUUCUUUUGCAGGGGAAUAAAGUGCAGGACGUGUCCUGCUUUGUAUGUACCCUGAGAAUAAGGAUCGGCUAACUCCGUGCCAGCCGCCGC
RNAcentral lists this ribosomal RNA (478 nucleotides) under uncultured bacterium. Its description in RNAcentral is "bacterial SSU rRNA". It matches the Rfam family "Bacterial small subunit ribosomal RNA", at positions 50 to 518 of the family's 1533-position model. The record is from RNAcentral.